AACAAGGCGUACCUGCGGACCUGCGGAGGGAUCAUUACCGAGUUUACAACUCCCAAACCCCUGUGAACAUACCAAUUGUUGCCUCGGCGGAUCAGCCCGCUCCCGGUAAAACGGGACGGCCCGCCAGAGGACCCCUAAACUCUGUUUCUAUAUGUAACUUCUGAGUAAAACCAUAAAUAAAUCAAAACUUUUAGCAACGGAUCU
This 204-nucleotide unclassified non-coding RNA is filed under the name soil metagenome. Its description in RNAcentral is "partial contains 5.8S ribosomal RNA, internal transcribed spacer 2, and large subunit ribosomal RNA". The record is from RNAcentral.